Molecule: non-coding RNA, 110 nt
Organism: Whalleya microplaca
Lineage: Eukaryota; Fungi; Ascomycota; Sordariomycetes; Xylariales; Xylariaceae
Source: the annotation of a GenBank genome assembly
GUCAGGAUGGUUUAACGGUAAGAAUUCCAACGGCUUGGAUAGCAGCUUCAACUCUGACAGAAGUGAGGCGUUCAGCCAGGAGGUGCUUGGUUCGAGUCCAGCUCCUGACC